GCUGGGUGCGGUGGCGGGCGCCUGUAAUCCUAGCUACUCUGGAGGCUGAGGCACGAGAAUCACUUGAGCCUGGGAGGCGAGGGUUGCAGUGAGCCGAGAUCAUGCCACGGUACUCCAGCCUGGGCAACAGAGUGAGACUUUGUCUCAA
Non-coding RNA from Pan troglodytes (chimpanzee), 148 nucleotides. It matches the Rfam family "Metazoan signal recognition particle RNA". Rfam says of the family: The signal recognition particle (SRP) is a universally conserved ribonucleoprotein. It is involved in the co-translational targeting of proteins to membranes. The eukaryotic SRP consists of a 300-nucleotide 7S RNA and six proteins: SRPs 72, 68, 54, 19, 14, and 9. The record is from Rfam. NCBI's taxonomy places the organism in Eukaryota, Metazoa, Chordata, Mammalia, Primates, Hominidae.